GCGUCGGUCCCAUAUGGAAUACUUUCCUGGUUAAAAUUUAACCCCAUAUUGGUUAAAUUUAACCAGGAUGUUUCCUGGUUAAAUUAACCAGGAAUAACUGGUUAAUCAAUGGAACCAGGAUUUCCUGGUUAAUAUAACCAGGAAUGCGUCGGUCCCAUAUGGAAUACUUUCCUGGUUAAAAUUUAACCCCAUAUUGGUUAAAUUUAACCAGGAUGUUUUUAGAGUGUACUGGUUCCCUUGAGGAUAGCUCUGUGGCAGUGAAAUCGAAAAACCUGCAUCAUUCCUCUGGCUCUCAUGGAUAAGCAUAAAGUAGUCGCGAGAAUAUGUUUCGCACUUAAGGUGGCUCCCUACAGUUGUGAAGAAACAGUAGCGAAAAAUAAGGUCUACACAAAGACGCAAAAUAUUACCUAUUUAUGUGAAGUGGGGAUUUUUUUGGAAGUACAAACGCCUGUGUAAUAUUUAUACUUCAAGCAUUUAUAAUAGUUCGAACGAAGCAAAUUGUGUGUUGCUAUGGUAACAAUGUGGCUUAAGCGACAGCAGGCAAAGAUCAAAUUUUGGAGUAAAAAUGAAUUUAUUGAAAUUUCCUUCGGUCAAAGUUUCAAAAAUAGUCAUCCAUUGGAAGGUUGGACCGCCGCCUGGCUUGCUUACUAGCUAAUAUUGCGGAGAAAGAAAGAAAGAAAGAAUCCAGAUAUACUGAUAUAGAUUGCAGAAAACACCGAAGCAAUACCUAAUAUGCCUAUGGCCGUUCAGAAUAGAGCGACAUGAACUCGUAACCAACAGAAAACUAUAGCUAAUUGCAGCAAUUGGAUAACUAGAUUAAUUUGUGUAGACAAAACAUAUAACAUGUACUUUGCAUUUGAAGUAUACUAUAGAUAAGUUUUACUGAAUUUUUCAGCACUUAUUCUUGUAUUUUCACCACAU
Molecule: non-coding RNA, 921 nt
Organism: Paramuricea clavata
Lineage: Eukaryota; Metazoa; Cnidaria; Anthozoa; Malacalcyonacea; Plexauridae
Source: the annotation of a GenBank genome assembly